GACACAUUCGGACCGUCGGACUACCGAGCAAAUUCACCCGCUCGGUGGAAGAUCUUUCCCUUUGUCGU
RNAcentral lists this microRNA precursor (68 nucleotides) under Bombyx mori (domestic silkworm). RNAcentral describes it as "mir-2774 microRNA precursor family". It matches the Rfam family "mir-2774 microRNA precursor family". The record is from Rfam by way of RNAcentral. Lineage: Eukaryota; Metazoa; Arthropoda; Insecta; Lepidoptera; Bombycidae.